GAGCAAAUAACUCAGUGGAAAGAGUGUAUGUUUCCGAAACAUAAAGUCGUGGGUUCAAAUCCCACUUUGCUCUC
Molecule: transfer RNA, 74 nt
Filed under: Caulerpa cliftonii
Lineage: Eukaryota; Viridiplantae; Chlorophyta; Ulvophyceae; Bryopsidales; Caulerpaceae
Description: tRNA-Arg
Rfam family: tRNA
About the family: Transfer RNA (tRNA) molecules are approximately 80 nucleotides in length. Their secondary structure includes four short double-helical elements and three loops (D, anti-codon, and T loops). Further hydrogen bonds mediate the characteristic L-shaped molecular structure. tRNAs have two regions of fundamental functional importance: the anti-codon, which is responsible for specific mRNA codon recognition, and the 3' end, to which the tRNAs corresponding amino acid is attached (by aminoacyl-tRNA synthetases). tRNAs cope with the degeneracy of the genetic code in two manners: having more than one tRNA (with a specific anti-codon) for a particular amino acid; and 'wobble' base-pairing, i.e. permitting non-standard base-pairing at the 3rd anti-codon position.
Source: RNAcentral